ACAACUUUCAGCAACGGAUCUCUUGGCUCUCGCAUCGAUGAAGAACGCAGCGAAAUGCGAUAAGUAAUGUGAAUUGCAGAAUUCAGUGAAUCAUNGAAUCUUUGAACGCACCUUGCGCUCCUUGGUAUUCCGAGGAGCAUGCCUGUUUGAGUGUCAUUAA
This 160-nucleotide ribosomal RNA is filed under the name Cortinarius hesleri. RNAcentral describes it as "5.8S ribosomal RNA". It matches the Rfam family "5.8S ribosomal RNA". Rfam says of the family: 5.8S ribosomal RNA (5.8S rRNA) is a component of the large subunit of the eukaryotic ribosome. It is transcribed by RNA polymerase I as part of the 45S precursor that also contains 18S and 28S rRNA. Functionally, it is thought that 5.8S rRNA may be involved in ribosome translocation. Lineage: Eukaryota; Fungi; Basidiomycota; Agaricomycetes; Agaricales; Cortinariaceae. The record is from RNAcentral.